Molecule: ribosomal RNA, 560 nt
Filed under: uncultured fungus
Lineage: Eukaryota; Fungi
Description: SSU rRNA
Rfam family: Eukaryotic small subunit ribosomal RNA
Source: RNAcentral
AUUGGAAGGGGUGUAUUUAUUAGAUAAAAAACCAAUGCCCUUCGGGGCUCCUUGGUGAUUCAUAAUAACUCAACGAAUCGCACGGCCUUGCGCCGGCGAUGGUUCAUUCAAAUUUCUGCCCUAUCAACUUUCGAUGGUAAGAUAGUGGCUUACCAUGGUCUCAACGGGUAACGGGGAAUUAGGGUUCUAUUCCGGAGAGGGAGCCUGAGAAACGGCUACCACAUCCAAGGAAGGCAGCAGGCGCGCAAAUUACCCAAUCCCAAUUCGGGGAGGUAGUGACAAUAAAUACUGAUACAGGGCUCUUUUGGGUCUUGUAAUUGGAAUGAGUACAAUCUAAAUCCCUUAACGAGGAACAAUUGGAGGGCAAGUCUGGUGCCAGCAGCCGCGGUAAUUCCAGCUCCAAUAGCGUAUAUUAAAGUUGUUGCCGUUAAAAAGCUCGUAGUUGAACCUUGGGCCUGGCUGAUCUGUCCUCCUAAUCGAGCGCACGGAUUCGGUCGGGCCUUUCCUUCUGGGGAGCCCGAUGCCCUUCACUGGGCGUCGUGGGGAACCAGGACUUUUAC